Molecule: ribosomal RNA, 497 nt
Filed under: uncultured bacterium
Lineage: Bacteria
Description: partial 16S ribosomal RNA
Rfam family: Bacterial small subunit ribosomal RNA
Source: RNAcentral
GACGAACGCUGGCGGCGUGCCUAAUACAUGCCAGUAGAACGCUGAAGCGAGGAGCUUGCUCUUCUUGGAUGAGUUGCGAACGGGUGAGUAACGCGUAGGUAACCUGCCUGGUAGCGGGGGAUAACUAUUGGAAACGAUAGCUAAUACCGCAUAAAAUUGAUUAUUGCAUGAUAAUUAAUUGAAAGAUGCAACUGCAUCACUACCAGAUGGACCUGCGUUGUAUUAGCUAGUUGGUGAGGUAACGGCUCACCAAGGCGACGAUACAUAGCCGACCUGAGAGGGUGAUCGGCCACACUGGGACUGAGACACGGCCCAGACUCCUACGGGAGGCAGCAGUAGGGAAUCUUCGGCAAUGGGGGGAACCCUGACCGAGCAACGCCGCGUGAGUGAAGAAGGUUUUCGGAUCGUAAAGCUCUGUUGUAAGAGAAGAACGGGUGUGAGAGUGGAAAGUUCACACUGUGACGGUAUCUUACCAGAAAGGGACGGCUAACUACGUG